ACGGGAGGCAGCAGUGAGGAAUAUUGGUCAAUGGACGGAAGUCUGAACCAGCCAAGUCGCGUGCGGGAUGAAGGCCCUACGGGUCGUAAACCGCUUUUGUACGGGGAUAAAGUCACCCACGUGUGGGUGUUUGUAGGUACCGUAAGAAUAAGGAUCGGCUAACUCCGUGCCAGCAGCCGCGGUAAUACGGAGGAUCCGAGCGGUAUCCGGAUUUAUUGGGUUUAAAGGGUGCGCAGGCGGGCUGUUAAGUCUACAGUGAAAUGUCAGGGCUCAACCUUGGCACUGCCGUAGAUACUGGCGGCCUUGAGAGUGGCGGAGGUAUGCGGAAUGUGUGGUGUAGCGGUGAAAUGCAUAGAUAUCACACAGAACACCGAUUGCGAAGGCAGGAUUCCAUACCAUAUCUGACGCUCAGGCACGAAAGCGUGGGGAUCAAACAGGAUUAGAUACCCUGGUA
Molecule: ribosomal RNA, 454 nt
Filed under: uncultured Alistipes sp.
Lineage: Bacteria; Pseudomonadati; Bacteroidota; Bacteroidia; Bacteroidales; Rikenellaceae
Description: partial 16S ribosomal RNA
Rfam family: Bacterial small subunit ribosomal RNA
Source: RNAcentral